This 664-nucleotide unclassified non-coding RNA is filed under the name Hevea brasiliensis (rubber tree). Lineage: Eukaryota; Viridiplantae; Streptophyta; Magnoliopsida; Malpighiales; Euphorbiaceae. The record is from RNAcentral.
GUUUCAUGAUGGAUCCAACAUCAGGAAAGAAAGUUUGCUAUGUGCAGUUUCCUCAAAGAUUUGAUGGUAUUGAUCGUCAUGAUAGAUACUCAAAUCGGAAUGUUGUAUUCUUCGAUAUCAACAUGAAAGGAUUAGAUGGUUUGCAAGGACCGAUAUAUGUUGGAACUGGGUGUGUUUUUCGAAGGCAGGCACUUUAUGGUUAUGAUGCACCUGUCAAGAAGAAGCCCCCUGGUAAGACCUGCAACUGUUGGCCAAAAUGGUGCUGCCUCUGCUGUGGAUCCAGAAAGAACAAGAAAUCGAAGCCAAAGAAGGAGAAGAAAAAGAAGUCGAACAGGGAAGCAUCAAAGCAGAUACACGCUCUGGAAAAUAUUGAAGAAGGAAUUGAAGAUUCAACUACUGAAAAAUCUUCAGAAACAUCCCAAAUGAAAUUGGAGAAGAAGUUUGGACAGUCUCCAGUAUUUGUAGCUUCAACGAUUUUGGAAAAUGGCGGAGUUCCUCAAGAUGCCAGUCCUGCAUCACUGUUGAGAGAAGCUAUCCAAGUUAUCAGCUGUGGUUAUGAAGAUAAAACAGAAUGGGGAAAGGAAGUUGGCUGGAUAUAUGGCUCUGUGACUGAGGAUAUCCUGACAGGAUUCAAAAUGCACUGCCAUGGAUGGCGAUCUGUGUA